AUACGGAAGGUCCGGGCGUUAUCCGGAUUUAUUGGGUUUAAAGGGAGCGCAGGCGGAGAUGCAAGCGUGACGUCAAAUUUCGGGGCUCAACCCCGUCUCGCGUCGCGAACUGCGUCCCUUGGUUGCGGGAAGGGGAGGCGGAACUCGUGGUGUAGCGGUGAAAUGCAUAGAUAUCGCGAAGAACUCCGAUCGCGAAGGCAGCCUUCCGGCCCGUCAACGACGCUCAUGCUCGAAGGUGCGGGUAUCAAACAGGAUUAGAUACCCUGGUAGUCCGCACAGUAAACGAUGGACACCCGCGGUUUGGCCUGUAUGGCUGAGCCGCCAAGCGAAAGCGUUAAGUGUCCCACCUGGGGAGUACGCCGGCAACGGUGAAACUCAAAUGAAUUGACGGGG
RNAcentral lists this ribosomal RNA (393 nucleotides) under uncultured bacterium. RNAcentral's name for it is "partial 16S ribosomal RNA". It matches the Rfam family "Bacterial small subunit ribosomal RNA", at positions 523 to 918 of the family's 1533-position model. The record is from RNAcentral.